This 2273-nucleotide long non-coding RNA is filed under the name Nicotiana benthamiana. Its description in RNAcentral is "long non-coding RNA (NBEN_LNC009664)". Lineage: Eukaryota; Viridiplantae; Streptophyta; Magnoliopsida; Solanales; Solanaceae. The record is from RNAcentral.
UACUACCUGAUUCUUUAUACGCUGAGACCAUCAGAGAAAUUCAUUCACCAAUAGAGCAAAAUUGGGACUCUUUGAGACAAUCGGCACGUCAAACUGCAGCAGGAAGGGCACUAUGGAAACAAGUGAUCAAUGAUCCAUUAGCAGAGUUACUUGCAGGGGAGACAUACCUGAAGAAGUUGUAUGAGAAGAUUAAGAAAGACAUCCUCAACAGUGCUAGAGAGGUUUCUGGAGUUAUCAUUGCUGUUAGGACACUAUGGUUUGAUAAAAGAAUUGAAGCAGCUCUUAAUUCCUUUGAUGGUGGAGGAGCACAAGUUGUCAUUCUAGGAGCAGGUAAGUGAUGUUUCAACAUGAUCUCUUGUGCUGUAUAUACCUUGUGACAUUUUAGAUAUAGAGAUGUAUACUUCUCAGGACACUAUGGUUUGACAAAAGAAUUGAAGCAGCUCUUAAUUCCUUUGAUGGAGGAGCACAAAUUGUCAUUCUUGGAGCAGGUAAGUGAUGUUUCAACAUGAUCUCUUGCACCAUAUAUACCCUGUGACAUUUUAGAUGUGCACGUAUACUUCCUGCAACUCAAUACCAAUUGAAUAGUUCUCAUUUAGUAAUUAGUAGCCAGUGGCAGGGAGAAGAGGUGUCAUCCGACACAGCUUCACAUCAAAUUGGGACCUGAAGUAAAGCCUUGAAACAAUCGCAGUCCUAAAUCCAAAUAAACGUUUCAAGUCUGAAAUGUGACAAUACAUUGAUAUCGUUUAUGCAAAAUCCUGUAUACACCCUGUUAGUAGCCAGUCAUUUAACUAAUCAGUUGCCACUAACCCCAUCACAGGAAAUUAAUAUGUCAGUGAUUCAUAUACCAACUAAACGUUAACAAGAUGCAACAGAUUCCAGCUCCAAAUCCCCAAAUUACUAGACAUCAACUGGCGAUACACUAAUCUUAUCCGAUGAAAAAAAUGGUCUCCCAUUUAAUACAAUCCUUUCACUUAGGAGCAACUAUGACUAUGUUUAGAUAAAAGAAUUCUAGAAAAAACAAAUAUCGACUAGGUAAUUUGAUACGUCCAUUUAAAAUUUGAUGAACAGAAUGUUAUUUAGUUCCUUUGAGUUAUGGCCUCAAUAUGGAGAUUGAACACUGAAUAGACAUAAAUUGUCCACCACAAGAGGGUAUGCAUGUUUCACCUAGUAUUUUCAUUGCUCACUCCUUGGAAGCUAUUCUAUUUCAUUUAGAGAAAAUGUUAUAGAGCAAACCAGUAUUGUCUGUACUAUCUCUCGCACUCAAAUGCAAUGGAAGUACUGAAGAUUAUCGCAAAUAACUAUACCUUUGAUCAUACAGUACUCUUAGCGGACUUCAUGAACAAGUAAUCAACCACAAUGUCCAGCUCAAAUUUCCAUUUCUAUAGCGACUAUCCUGAUCAGUUAUUGCCAUCACUAGGAUUUUCUGAUUUUAAACUUUCUCAAAUUGGUGACCCAGAUGCUCAUUUUGGGCUGUUGCAUAACCCAUUAAAUUUGUUCAACAAGUUGCGCAACUUGCCCAGGUCACUUCAAACUCACCCAGAUGAUGGAACACCAUGUUGUAGGUUGUACCUGCUUCAAGCCUCUGGAGAGCCACCAAAUCAAACUAUUUUCUGAAUAUUAUAAGAAUAGUUCACCAAUAAAGUCUAACAUACUGUUAAGAUUAGAAGCACUCCUCAUUGAUUGUAACUGUCAUCUUACCAAUUAGCUAUACAUGUGACUAUGUUAUUUAACCUGUGACUAGUAGACUUUUUAUGUUUUCAAGAUCUAGGUAAUACUUAGAAAGGCUUCAUGAUAUCAUGUUUCAAGCACCUUCUUUCCCCUCUUUUAGCUAGCACUGAAUAAGUUAACCAAAAUUACAUUCUAGGCACGAGCAGCAAACCAAUGAACAAAAUUAGUGAUCGGAAAGUUUCGGGAUGGUAAAAUUUUAUGCUAUUAAUAGAUACAACGAGUGAAGAGGAAACAAACCUAUAAGUUGCAACUCGAUUUCACCGAACGAGUUCACCUGCGAAAGAGAUGGCACAAAGCAAGUUCUCUAGUUGAGAAAAUUAUUUGAAAUUAGGGCAAACUGAUCCCUAAAUAGGAUCUAUAUUUGGAGUUGAUACAACCCAUUAGAGGAAUUUGUGUCGGGUGGCGAUGAAGCAGCGGUGAAGGAGCAGAGGGAAUUUCAGAAAGGGUGAAAUAUUUUAGUGGUGAAAAAUUUGAAAUUGGGCAGAAUAUUUCAGCGGGUAUUCCUUUUGUCAGAGAAAAUUUUAAUAGUACGUUUUAGAGUACAC